Molecule: ribosomal RNA, 465 nt
Filed under: uncultured bacterium
Lineage: Bacteria
Description: partial 16S ribosomal RNA
Rfam family: Bacterial small subunit ribosomal RNA
Source: RNAcentral
GACGAACGCUGGCGGCGUGCUUAACACAUGCAAGUCGAACGGAAAGGCCCUGCUUGCAGGGUACUCGAGUGGCGAACGGGUGAGUAACACGUGGGUGAUCUGCCCUGCACUUCGGGAUAAGCCUGGGAAACUGGGUCUAAUACCGGAUAGGAGCCAUUUUUAGUGUGAUGGUUGGAAAGUUUUUUCGGUGUAGGAUGAGCUCGCGGCCUAUCAGCUUGUUGGUGGGGUAAUGGCCUACCAAGGCGGCGACGGGUAGCCGGCCUGAGAGGGUGGACGGCCACAUUGGGACUGAGAUACGGCCCAGACUCCUACGGGAGGCAGCAGUGGGGAAUAUUGCACAAUGGGCGCCAGCCUGAUGCAGCGACGCCGCGUGGGGGAGGACGGACUUCGGGUUGUAAACUCCUUUCGCUAGGGACGAAGCUUUUUGUGACGGUACCUAGAUAAGAAGCACCGGCUAACUACGUG